UUGGAAGAUCCGGCGAAAUCGCCGAAAAGAAAAGGGAAGAAGGGGCCAGCUUGCUGUAUUUCGCCGGAGAAAGAGGAGGAUAUGGGCCGCCUCAACGUCACGGCGCUGCUGCUCUCGAGGUGAGCCGUGUGGCGGCGCCUCGCGCUAGAAACAUUACCUCGCUCGCAACCUCCUCAGCGCGGCGAUGGUUGGGGUGGAGACGUCGUCGGAGUAG
RNAcentral lists this long non-coding RNA (214 nucleotides) under Salvia miltiorrhiza (redroot sage). RNAcentral's name for it is "long non-coding RNA (SMIL_LNC011081)". The record is from RNAcentral. Lineage: Eukaryota; Viridiplantae; Streptophyta; Magnoliopsida; Lamiales; Lamiaceae.